RNAcentral lists this non-coding RNA (30 nucleotides) under Homo sapiens (human). Lineage: Eukaryota; Metazoa; Chordata; Mammalia; Primates; Hominidae. The record is from RNAcentral.
UGAGAAUCUAAUGCCUUUGCUGAUCUGACA